Molecule: ribosomal RNA, 301 nt
Filed under: uncultured bacterium
Lineage: Bacteria
Description: partial 16S ribosomal RNA
Rfam family: Bacterial small subunit ribosomal RNA
Source: RNAcentral
CAGUAGCCACGGGAACACGGAGGGGGCUAGCGUUGUUCGGAAUUACUGGGCGUAAAGCGCACGUAGGCGGCUUUGUAAGUUAGAGGUGAAAGCCCGGAGCUCAACUCCGGAAUUGCCUUUAAGACUGCAGAGCUAGCAGGUGAGAGAGGUAAGUGGAAUUCCGAGUGUAGAGGUGAAAUUCGUAGAUAUUCGGAAGAGCACCAGUGGCGAAGGCGGCUUACUGGCUCAUACUGGACGCUGAGGUGCGAAAGCGUGGGGAGCAAACAGGAUUAGAUACCCCCGUAGUCCCUGUCUCUUAUAC